AAAUAACAUUUUAUUUUUCAGCUCAAAUUGGUUAAGCAAAGGAUAAUUAUAUGUAAGGGUGGAUAGAAAGGCUCAAAGGGACCAAGGAACAUGCCUCGUGCGUGCUACAAAAGUACCAAUCAAAUAAAAAGACGACAAGCAAAAUCGAGAGACAAUACAUGAGUGGAUAUCACACAUAGAAGAAAAAGGAGUGUUUGGCUCAAUACCUCUCGGCUGGGUCGAAUCAAAGAGCCGGUCAAAAAGUGUGCGUUCCCUUCCUUUGCCUCUUGAUCACAUGAGUGCAACAAGCUAUUGCACUGCAGGUUUCACAAAUC
RNAcentral lists this long non-coding RNA (314 nucleotides) under Trifolium pratense (red clover). RNAcentral's name for it is "long non-coding RNA (TPRA_LNC012805)". The record is from RNAcentral. Lineage: Eukaryota; Viridiplantae; Streptophyta; Magnoliopsida; Fabales; Fabaceae.